AGCAUGUGCGCGAGUCAAUGGGAUAAACCUAAAGGCGAAAUGAAAGUGAAGGUCAGCCUUGGACCUAGGGAGGACGAGCAUCCGUUCUCGCCCUGCACUCCCGGGGCGUCUCGUUCUCAUCGCGAGAAGAGGCGCACCCAGAGCGUACACGCUGGGACCCGAAAGAUGGUGAACUAUGCCUGGUCAGGACGAAGUCAGGGGAAACCCUGAUGGAGGUCCGUAGCGAUUCUGACGUGCAAAUCGAUCGUCGGAACUGGGUAUAGGGGCGAAAGACUAAUCGAACCAUCUAGUAGCUGGUUCCCUCCGAAGUUUCCCUCAGGAUAGCUGGCGCUCGUCUCGAACGAGUCUCAUUCGGUAAAGCGAAUGAUUAGAGGCAUUGGGGUCGAAACGGCCUCAACCUAUUCUCAAACUUUAAAUGGGUGAGAUCUCCGGCUUGCUCGAACAUGAAGCCGCGAGUAUCGGAUCAGAGUGCCAAGUGGGCCACUUUUG
This 489-nucleotide ribosomal RNA is filed under the name Ochodaeus solskyi. RNAcentral's name for it is "eukaryotic LSU rRNA". It matches the Rfam family "Eukaryotic large subunit ribosomal RNA", at positions 677 to 1139 of the family's 3401-position model. The record is from RNAcentral. Lineage: Eukaryota; Metazoa; Arthropoda; Insecta; Coleoptera; Ochodaeidae.